Molecule: small RNA, 46 nt
Filed under: Neorhodopirellula pilleata
Lineage: Bacteria; Pseudomonadati; Planctomycetota; Planctomycetia; Pirellulales; Pirellulaceae
Description: Acido-Lenti-1 RNA
Rfam family: Acido-Lenti-1 RNA
Source: Rfam by way of RNAcentral
CCCCACGCUCACGCGUGGGGCUAACCGCUACCGUCGCUUCGCGACU